This 110-nucleotide Y RNA is filed under the name Propithecus coquereli (Coquerel's sifaka). Its description in RNAcentral is "Y RNA (ENSPCOG00000005283.1)". It matches the Rfam family "Y RNA". Rfam says of the family: Y RNAs are components of the Ro ribonucleoprotein particle (Ro RNP), in association with Ro60 and La proteins. The Y RNAs and Ro60 and La proteins are well conserved, but the function of the Ro RNP is not known. Lineage: Eukaryota; Metazoa; Chordata; Mammalia; Primates; Indriidae. The record is from Rfam by way of RNAcentral.
GGCUUUUCUGAAGGUAGUGAGUUAUCUCACUCGAUUGUACACAGUUACAAAUUGAACUCCUUGUUCUACUACUUUACCCCCUUCUCGCUACUGCAUUUGACUAGUCUAAA